GUGGCUUAGUGGUAGAAUGCUCGCCUGCCACGCGGGCGGCCCGGGUUCGAUUCCCGAUGCA
This 61-nucleotide transfer RNA is filed under the name Cordylochernes scorpioides. Its description in RNAcentral is "tRNA-Gly". Lineage: Eukaryota; Metazoa; Arthropoda; Arachnida; Pseudoscorpiones; Chernetidae. The record is from RNAcentral.